Non-coding RNA from Pelobates cultripes (western spadefoot toad), 340 nucleotides. The record is from the annotation of a GenBank genome assembly. NCBI's taxonomy places the organism in Eukaryota, Metazoa, Chordata, Amphibia, Anura, Pelobatidae.
CAGGGAGGGGGUAUCCUUUCUGCCUUCCCUGGUGGUCCUAGUGGUGAGAGUGAACUCUAGCCUGCGGGGCCAGAGUUCACUCUUGCGAGAUCUGAGCAUUGCCGCAGUAACCGCGGCAACGCUCAGAUCUCGCGAAAGGAACCCUGGCGGAGCUGCUGGCAAUAGCUCCCCGGGUCCUCUCCUGCCUCCCUCCCUGCAUGUGGGUCGGUGGGAAGGGAGGCUGAGAGCAGAGCCGGCGCUUGGAUAGCGCCGGCUCUGCAUGAGCCGACAGGGGAGAUCCUUAGAUUUCCCCUGCCGGUCUCAAUACAUAGGCGUGCCGCGGGGAUUAGGGUGUGCCCAG